AGGAUUAACGCUGGCGGCGUGCCUAACACAUGCAAGUCGAACGAGGGGGGCAACCCCCGAGUGGCAGACGGGUGAGUAACGCGUGGUCAACCUACCCUAGAGUGGGGAAUAACUAGCCGAAAGGUUAGCUAAUACCGCAUGAUACGUUUUGGGACAUCCCAGGACGUUGAAAGGAGCAAUCCGCUCGAGGACGGGACCGCGUCCGAUUAGCUAGUUGGUGAGGUAACGGCCCACCAAGGCUCCGAUCGGUAGCUGGUUUGAGAGAGCGACCAGCCACACUGGGACUGAGAAACGGCCCAGACUCCUACGGGAGGCAGCAGUGAGGAAUUUUCCGCAAUGGGCGAAAGCCUGACGGAGCGACGCCGCGUGUGGGAAGAAGGCCUUCGGGUCGUAAACCACUGUCGAAGGGGACUAUACUGAAGGUACCCUUGGAGGAAGCCCGGCUAACUACGUGCCAGCAGCCGC
RNAcentral lists this ribosomal RNA (465 nucleotides) under uncultured bacterium. RNAcentral's name for it is "SSU rRNA". It matches the Rfam family "Bacterial small subunit ribosomal RNA", at positions 26 to 518 of the family's 1533-position model. The record is from RNAcentral.